UGGACGAGAGCCUGAACCAGCCAAGUCGCGUGAGGGAAGACGGUCCUAUGGAUUGUAAACCUCUUUUGCCGGGGAGCAAAGAGCGGCACGUGUGCCGCGCCGAGAGUACCCGGAGAAAAGCAUCGGCUAACUCCGUGCC
This 139-nucleotide ribosomal RNA is filed under the name uncultured bacterium. RNAcentral's name for it is "partial 16S ribosomal RNA". It matches the Rfam family "Bacterial small subunit ribosomal RNA", at positions 372 to 509 of the family's 1533-position model. The record is from RNAcentral.